AGUGUAGGCGGCUACUUAAGUCGGAUGUGAAAGCCCCGGGCUCAACCUGGGAAUUGCAUUCGAUACUGGGUAGCUAGAGUUUGGUAGAGGUAAGUGGAAUUCCAGGUGUAGCGGUGAAAUGCGUAGAUAUCUGGAGGAACAUCAGUGGCGAAGGCGGCUUACUGGACCAAAACUGACGCUGAGGCUCGAAAGCGUGGGGAGCAAACAGGAUUAGAUACCCUGGUAGUCC
RNAcentral lists this ribosomal RNA (229 nucleotides) under uncultured bacterium. RNAcentral describes it as "partial 16S ribosomal RNA". It matches the Rfam family "Bacterial small subunit ribosomal RNA", at positions 568 to 796 of the family's 1533-position model. The record is from RNAcentral.